Molecule: transfer RNA, 73 nt
Filed under: Felis catus (domestic cat)
Lineage: Eukaryota; Metazoa; Chordata; Mammalia; Carnivora; Felidae
Also listed under: 2 other names
Rfam family: tRNA
About the family: Transfer RNA (tRNA) molecules are approximately 80 nucleotides in length. Their secondary structure includes four short double-helical elements and three loops (D, anti-codon, and T loops). Further hydrogen bonds mediate the characteristic L-shaped molecular structure. tRNAs have two regions of fundamental functional importance: the anti-codon, which is responsible for specific mRNA codon recognition, and the 3' end, to which the tRNAs corresponding amino acid is attached (by aminoacyl-tRNA synthetases). tRNAs cope with the degeneracy of the genetic code in two manners: having more than one tRNA (with a specific anti-codon) for a particular amino acid; and 'wobble' base-pairing, i.e. permitting non-standard base-pairing at the 3rd anti-codon position.
Source: Rfam by way of RNAcentral
GUUUGGCUGGCUCAAUCAGUAGAGCAUGUGACUUUUGAUCAAAGGGUCAUGAGUUCAAGCCCCAUGUUUGGCA